CGCGACGGUGAACAGGCGGAUGUGCGGCACGGCUACCAUCGCGCCCAAUGGGUGCGACGGUCAACAGGCGGACGUGUGAGGCGGCUACCAUCGCGCCCAAUGGGCGCGACGGUGAACAGGCAGAUGUGCGGCACGGCUACCAUCGCGCCCAAUGGGCGCGACGGUGAACAGGCGGAUGUGCAGCACGGCUACCAUCGCGCCCAAUGGGCGCAACGUUCAACAGGCGGAUGUGCAGUGUGGCUACCAUCGCGCCCAAUGGGCGCGACGGUGAACAGGCGGAUGUGUGAGGCGGCUACCAUCGCGCCCAAUGGGCGCGACGGUGAACAGGCGGAUGUGUGAGGCGGCUACCAUCGCGCCCAAUGGGCGCGACGGUGAACAGGCGGAUGUGUGAGGCGGCUACCAUCACGCCCAAUGGGCGCGACGGUCAACAUGCGGAUGUGCAGCGCGGCUACCAUCGCGCCCAAUGGGCGUGACGGUGAACAGGCGGACGUGUGAGGCGGCUACCAUCGCGCCCAAUGGGCGCGACGGUGAACAGGCAGAUGUGCGGCACGGCUACCAUCGCACCCAAUGGGCGCGACGGUGAACAGGCGGAUGUGCAGCGCGGCUACCAUCGCGCCCAAUGGGCAUGAUGGUCAACAGGCGGAUGUGCAGCGCGGCUACCAUCGCGCCCAAUGGGCGCGACGGUGAACAGGCGGACGUGUGAGGCGGCUACCAUCACGCCCAAUGGGUGCGACGGUCAACAGGCGGACGUGUGAGGCGGCUACCAUCGCGCCCAAUGGGCGCAACGGUGAACAGGCAGAUGUGCGGCGCGGCUACCAUCGCGCCCAAUGGGCGCGAUGGUCAACAGGCGGAUGUGCGGUGCGGCUACCAUCGCGCCCAAUGGGCNNN
RNAcentral lists this long non-coding RNA (888 nucleotides) under Volvox carteri. RNAcentral describes it as "long non-coding RNA (VCAR_LNC004130)". Lineage: Eukaryota; Viridiplantae; Chlorophyta; Chlorophyceae; Chlamydomonadales; Volvocaceae. The record is from RNAcentral.